AAAUACAUUGGUGGGGGCUGGCCAAGGGAGGGAUGCAACCUGUCCUGCUGCCUGCCAGGUUAAUCAGACCCUGGGGGAAACUGUUUUAAUUCAUCUCUCACAGAUGUCUAUUAAGGCAAUCCAAAAUAGUAAAACUAUGGGGAAAGUGAAGAAAAAACAAAAGGAGUGCUGAAAGGAGCAAAUGAAGAUAGAAAGGAAAAGAGAACAUUGUUUAUGGGUGAGCAAGGAGCCCCGUGAGGCCAGAGGAAGACUUACCAUUUGUGGUGACGCUGAAUCAAAAGUUCAGGUACCUCCUCAUUAGCUGCAAAAAGGGGUCACAUCAACCAGUCCUGCUAGCUCUCAACCCCCCAGAAUAAGUACAAAAAUCCUCACAACCCCUUCAUGGUUGCCAAGAAAUAUGUUAUUGGUAUGACAUUUUCAGCUCUCAAUGUAAUAGAAAUUAAUAUCAGGCCAGACAAACUUUUCUGAGAUUAAGUUUUAUUAAGAUUUAUGCCCAGAAAUGUUGGGCAUAAGGGAAACAGCACAGGAAAAAGGGUUCUCUGGCUGAGUCCCUGAGGAGACUGCAUCACGGUGUCUUAACGAGGAUGACAUGCAUAAUUCAUGAGGUAGGUGAGCAUCACUACAUGUGCAGGAUGGAAUGCAGAGUGGGCAGAUGCAGUAAGGAAUCAUGGUAACAUACAUGUCACAUGAUCAAAAUGGCAGAUAAGCCGAGUGCGGUGGCUCACACCUGUAAUCCCAGCAGUUUGGGAGGGUGAGAUGGGAGGAUCACUUAAGCCCAGGAGUUUGAGACCAGCCUGGGCAACAUGGUGAGACCCCGUCUCUACAAAAAUAAAAAAAUUAGGGAGGGCAUGGUGGUGUGCACCUGUAGUCCCAGCUACUUGGGAGGCUAAGGUGGAAGGAUCACUCAAGCCCAGAAGGUCAAGGCUGCAAUAAGCUGUGAUCAUGUCACUGCCCUCUAGCCUGGGUGACUGAGUGACAUCCUGUCUCAAAACAAACAAACAAACAAACAACACCCCCUCCUAAAAACAACACCACCUCAACGAAACAAAAUGGCAGAUAUGUGGGAAAUUUAGUAUUAUAAUGAAGCAUGUGUUAAAGAUCAUUCUUCUGGUCUUGUGCACAUCAGGGCAACAGGGUUAACUCCUUUGAGUGAGAUUUAUGGUGGGAUGCUGCUUAUCUUAGUUUUUUUCAGAGAGCUCACUAACCUCCAUUCAGCAAGUAUGUUAUGAAAAAAUACAUUGGUGGGGGUAGGCUGAGUCCCAUCCCUACUCUGUCUCAUUAUUAGAUGUAUAUACUUUAAGAAUAUAUUUUUGCCAAAUUGACUCUUUAAUCAAUAGAAUGUUCUACUUUAUCUCUAAUAAUAUUUUUGCCUUAAGGUCUACUUCUUGUCUGAUAUUAGUAAAGCUAUUUAAGAGCUCUCUUCAGUGUUUGAAUAUUGUAUCUUUUUCCAUACUCUUAAUGUUAAAUUUCCUGAGUCCUUAUAGUUAUUGUGUGUCCUGUGUAAGUGGCAUAUAAUUAAUUUUUUAAAAAAGUUUCUAGUGGAGAAUAUUUGUCAUUUAGUUCACUUACAUGUAAUAUAAUUACGGAUGUAUUUGGGUUUAUAUCUACCGUGUUUCUAUUUGUCUUCCCUGUUCUGUUUUUUUUCUAUUUUUGUUGCGUUCUUUUAAUCAAUACUUUUAAUUAAUGCAUUUUACCUUCUAUUAAGUUGCUAGAUAUACUCCUGUUUUACCCUAGAGAUUAUAACAUGCCUCCUUGGUUUUUAUUAGAAUCCAUUAUAAAUUGAUACUUUUACUACUUCCUUGAGAAUGUUCUGAUUUUAGGGAUUAUUAUCUUGCAGUCAAUAUUCAUUUACACUUACCUUCAGAUUUACUCUUUCCAUGCCUCUUCAUUUCUUCCUAAAAUUGUUUUACAGGACAGGAUAUUUUUCCUUAAUUUUUGGCUAUUAUGAGUAGUAAUCACCAUGCACAUUGAUGUACAAUAUCUGCUUGAGUCCCUGAUUUUACUUCUUUUGGGUAUAUAUCAAGAAGUAGAAUUGCUGGAUCAUAUGGCAAUUCUAUUUUUAAGUUUUUCAGGAGACAGCAACAUUCCCAUCAGCAAUGCCCAAGGGUUCCAAUGUCCCCACAUACUUGCUAACAAGUUCUGAUUUUGUUUGUUUCUUUGGAAAAUACCCAGCCUAAUGGAUUUGAAGUGGUAUCUCAUCAUGGUUUUUUAUUAUUUAUUUAUUUAUUUAUUUUUGAGACGGAGUCUCACUGUGUCACCCAAGCUGGAGUGCAGUGGCACGAUCUCGGCUCACUGCAACCUCCACCUCCCGGGUUCAAGCAAUUCUCCUGUCUCAGCCUCCCGAGUAGCUGGGUCUAUAGGCACGUGCCACCAUGCCCGACUAAUAUUUUUGUAUUUUUAGUAGAGCCAGGGUUUCACUGUGUUAGCCAGGAUGGUCUCAAUCUCCUGACCUCGUGAUCCACCCGCCUCGGCCUCCCAAAGUGCUGGAAUUACAGGCGUAAGCCACCGCACCCAGCCUUCAUCAUGGUUUUGAUUUGUAUUUUCCUAAUGAUUAAUGAUGUUGAGCAUCUUGUCAUGUGAUUAUUGACCAUUUAUAUAUCUUCUUUGGAGGAAUAUCUAUUCAAGCAAUUUGCCCAUUUUAAAAUCGGGUUUUGUUGUUGCCUGUGCUUUUACUGUCAUAUCCAAUAAAAUCAUUGAAAAAUCCAAUGUCAUGAAGGUUUUCCCCUGUUUUCUUGUAAGAGCUUUAUAUUUUUAGCUCUCAUGUUUAGGUCUUUGAUCUUUUUUUUUUUGUUGUUAAAUUUUGUAUAUGGUACAAUGUAAGGGUCAAACUUCAUUCUUUUGCAUGUGAAUAUGCAGUUUUCCCAAUUCUAUUUGUUGAGAAAAUAGUCCUUUCCUCAUUGGAUGGUCUUGACACCCUUGUCAAAAAUCAUUUCAUCAUAUAUGGGAGGGUUUAUUUCUAGGCUCUCUAUUAUAUUUCAUUGGUCUAUGUGUAUUGACCUGAAGGAAGAAAAUGAGGGAAAAUUAAUGUAAAGAGUAUAUUUUGGCCAAGGUUGAGGACUGGAAUUUGGGAACCACUGGGAAGUGCUUCAGAGAGCAAAGGAGAGUCUUGAGUCUUUUAAAGUAAAAAGAAAAGGAUGAAUCAAAAGAGAAAGCAAUUUACAAAAGUUUCAGGAAUUGUCAUUGGUUUACAGAAAUAACACUGAUUAGUGAUUAGCUAUACAUUGUUGAACUACAGGGUAUGAGCUAUGGUGUCCAGCGUAAGGCAUUGUUAGGUUUAUGGCUACUUGGUGGUGACAGUCUAGAGUCCCUAUAGCAGGUAGGUUAGAAAUAGUCAGCUCAAGCGUGGAGUAAAAGGUGACUACUGUCACAUUUCAAUGUCUAUUUGGGCCUGAUAAUUUAAAGGAAGUUCACAUUCCUCAAAUUAAAAGUUUCUUGUCUUCCUCAAGUGUCUGUCUUUAUGCCAGUACCACACUAUUUUGAUUACUGUGGCUUUGUACUAAGUUUUUUUUUUUUUUUUUUUUCAAAGACUGGGUCUCACUCUGUUGACCAGGCUGUUCUCAAACUUCCAGGCUCAAGGGAUCCUCCUACCUCAGCCUCCUGAGUAGCUUGGACUAUAGGUACGCAUCACCAUGCCUGGCUAUAGUAAGUUUUGAAAUCAGCAGUGUGAGACCUCCAACUUUAUUGCUUCUCAGGAUUGUUCUGGCUAAUUGAGAUCCCUUUACGUUCCAUACAAGUUUUAGAAUUAGUUUUUCUAUUAAUGCAAAACUUGUCACUGGAAUUUUAAUAGGGAUUGCACUGAAUCUGUAGAUUUCUUUGGGUAGACUGAACAUAGGGUAUCUUCCCAAUUAUAUGUGCCUUCUUUCGCAUUUUCCAGCAAUGUUUUGUAGUUUUCAGGGAACAAGUCAUUCACUUACUUGGUUAAGUUUAUUGCUAAGUAUUUUAGUCUUUUUGAUGGUAUUGUAAAUGAAAUUGUUUUCUUCAUUUCCUUUUUAGAUUGUAGAUUGUCAGUAUAUAGAAAUGUAACUGAUUUUUGGGUGUUGAUUUUGUAUCCUGCAACUUGGCUGAAUUCACUUAUUAGUUCGUGUGUGUGUGUGUGUGUGUGUGUGUGUGUGUGUGUGAUCUUAAGGGUUUUUUGCAUAUAAGAUUAUGUCAUCUGCAAAUAGAGAUAAUUUUACUUCCUCCUUUCCAAUUUGGAUGUCUUUUAUUUUUUAUUUGCCAAACUGAUCUGCCUAGGACUUCCAGUAUUAUGUUGAAGUGGUGAAAGCAGGCAUAUUGUUUCUCUUAGAGAAAAAGCUUUCAGUCUUUUACCAUUAUGAUGCUCACUGUAGUUUUUUUUUUUUUAAAUAUGGCCUUUAUUAUACUGAGGUAGUUUCCUUAUACUCCUUGUUUGUUGAGUGUAUCAUAAAAGCAUUGAAUUUUGUCAGCUUUUUUGCAUCAGUCGAGUUAAUCACACUUUUUUCCUUCAUUCUGUUACUGUGAUGUAGUACAUUGAUUGAUUUUUGUAUGUUGAAUCAUUCUGAAUUUCAAAAAUAAAUCUUACCUGGACAUGGUGUAUAAUUAUUUUAAAGCAUUGUUGGAUUGUGUUUUCUAGAAUUUUGUUGAGGAUUAUUUAUAGGGGACAUUGGUCUGUAGCUUUCUUGUAGUGUCUUUGUCUGGCGUGGUGUCAGAUUAAUGCUGGCUUCAUAAAAUGAAUUUGGAAUUGUUCCUUCCUUUGUAAUAUUUUGUAGGAAUUUAAUAAAAGUUGGUGUUACUUCUUUUUUUGAGACAGUCUCACUCUGUCGCCCAGGCUGGAGUGCAGUGGCGCGAUCUCGGCUCACUGUAAGCUCCGCCUCCCAGGUUCACGCCAUUCUCCUGCCUCAGCCUCCUGAGUAGCUGGGACUACAGGCGCAUGUUGCCACGCCUGGCUAAU
This 4909-nucleotide long non-coding RNA is filed under the name Homo sapiens (human). RNAcentral's name for it is "HSALNT0249865". Lineage: Eukaryota; Metazoa; Chordata; Mammalia; Primates; Hominidae. The record is from RNAcentral.